UAAAGAAUAGUUUUGGUUAUGUUGUAACAUACACACAAAAACAAAGAUAUAUCUAGUUACAAACUUACAAUAUUUGAUUUUGAGGUUAAGAAGUUUGUUUUAAUCAUCCGGAUACAAAUUGAAAUAGAAGAUUUCUGUAGGAUUUUUUUUUUUUUUUUCAUCGAGCAAAAUAUCGCAAAAGCAUAAUAUCAAAGAUUGAGAAGCUUGUAAGCAAAACAUUGGUACUCGUGGCAGGCAUUAAGAACAACUCACUCAUCUUAAGUACCGGUACAUUAGACAUGAGAUUACAACAUUUGAUGUGUCAUCAUCAUCCACAUGUUGGUCUCUUAUUGGUUUACAUGGUUAGAUCUCAUAGAUUAUGUAGUUGUAGUAACACAGAGAAGAUCUAAGCAUGAGGUUAAUUUAACACGUGUCAACUUUAGAUCAGCC
This 429-nucleotide long non-coding RNA is filed under the name Capsella rubella. RNAcentral describes it as "long non-coding RNA (CRUB_LNC002811)". The record is from RNAcentral. Lineage: Eukaryota; Viridiplantae; Streptophyta; Magnoliopsida; Brassicales; Brassicaceae.